This is a long non-coding RNA of Spinacia oleracea (spinach), 2411 nucleotides long. RefSeq lists it as uncharacterized. Lineage: Eukaryota; Viridiplantae; Streptophyta; Magnoliopsida; Caryophyllales; Amaranthaceae. The record is from RefSeq and is a predicted model, not a curated record. The transcript is spliced from 7 exons.
CUUCGAUUUUACGGAGUGUGCCCUUACCCUCCUGCUCGUAUCCAUCUACACGCCUCUUCUUAGAUUAGGAAGUGUGUUUGCCCUUUCCCCCUUUCUGGUAAACUCAUCUCCUCUCCUAUGGCUUGGUAGCUCAACUGAUCCUUUGUUCCUACUUUUCUUCUUCGUAUUCGCUCCAUUUACCCAAUCUAUCCAGGUAUAAUACCUUUGAACAUCAAGAACACCCAUUAGAUUUGUCCUCGGUUUUUAUUUCUCUGAUCAAGGCGUUUCGUCAGCCUCCGUACUCCUCUGUCUUGAAUUCGGCAUCAAUACGUUACAUCUGGUUUCCCUCUAUCUCAAACUCUUCUUUCUCAUACUUUCAUUGAUCUAGGGUUCCUCAUUUCACAAGUUUUGAGAAACAACCAUCACAAUUCUUCAAAACACACGGAAUUCGCAGAAAUCCUAAAUUAGCCCCUUCAUAAAUAUCCCAUCUUCUUCCUAAACCCUAAAUAACCAGGUUUUUUCAAUUCAUCAGGCUUCUCUGCAUACGAAAAGCAAGACAGAAAGAGGAUUGAAGCUGAUAUAAUUGGAGCUUGUUAUUUUGUCAAGUUUAUACGAAAUUGAAGGUUUACUCUUCAAAAUCUUUUUGGCUAAAACAAACAUGGCGGCUUAUCUUCUCCGCAACAUUUCUUCAGUAAUCGAUAUGAUCAGCUCAGUGCCUAAUUGAGAAGAAGUGUCUUGCUUUUCAGGUUUUGUGUAAUUUGUGUUUUCUUUAAUUAACUAGCAUAUUUUCUCAAUCUACUCUUGCGUGAUUGCUGGUAUGGAUUGUUUCUUGUAGAUUAGUUCCCAAGAUUUAAAAAAUAAGGUUCUGGAACCCGAGUGUGUAUUAGAACAGAACCUCGAGCUUUCUUUCUUUCCUUCAAUUCUACUGGGUAGCUUAUGCUGAUUGAGAUGGUGUUUCUUUCAUGACCAGGACAACGAAUCAAAGCAUUGGUCUUCUUUCCUAUACAUGUCUUUAAAAGGUUUCAUAGUUGUUGUCAGCGGCUGCCAUUCCUGUAUUUUAUGGAAUUGGCAAUCCCAAAGAUGCAGAUCAAACAAAGGCUAAAAGCGAUCAAAUUUUGGCAUCUUCUUUUGUGGGGGACGGUGGAGCAAGCUGGAGAAUGCUGGCUUUGAAUCGCACCAGGAGCAAGCAACACGCGAGGGAACAAAUGGUUCUGCAGUUGUUAAAGAAAGGUGAUAACAGCAGGUUGAUCAAAUUAUUGGAACAAAACUGAAGAGGUAUUCUGUAGUACCGAAUUUUAGGCAGCUAAGAUUAGAAGAAGAGGAAACUUUCUAGGAAGUAGUAAGAAGGUUAUAAUUGCAACACCUAGGCAGCUGGAGAGUUUAAUACGACUUAGUGAAGCAUUGGCACGGAUGCAUUUCUCUGAAUGGAUUCUUUGUAUUUGAAUAAAAUGAAGGGAAGAGUUCCGGAAAAUACUUCCAGCAAGUGGCCAAGAGUUUCGGGUGGCUCUUACGGAGAGUGGUGACUAGUUCCGGAAAAUAUUUCCGGUAGGUGGUGAAGGGCUUUGGACAAUAUUUCCAGAGGUUUAUCACGGAUUCCGGAAUUUCACUCCGGUUGUUUAAUUGGUUGAGAUGUGAGAUGUGACUGAAGCUAUUCGGCUAUUAGAAGUUGCAUUGCACCAAACAACAACUGAUCAUCCCAUAGGUAAAGGUAAAUGCUGUUUAGCCCCUGAAUGGAUUAGCUAAAUGUGAUUUUUAGAAAGUCAGUCUAUCAGAGAAGCUUGAAUUAGAGCUUCCUUUCACAACUUUCACCUAUAUAUAAUUUCAUCUUAUUUUACUUUCAUUAAUUUCACUUUCUCCCUUUUCCUUGUUCAGUCUUUUAACUUCCGGCUCCUUUCUUGUUUGAUUGGUCAUGUUUGAUUGGUCACAGUGAGUUAAUUACGAUCUCCUAUGUCGAUUCAUGUUAGCCGACCCCAAAACAUUUUGGACGAAGGCUUUGUUGUUGUUGUUGUUGUUGUUGUUGUAGGAGAAGAGUGCAGCCGCGAAGAAGACUGCAGAGGGGAAUUUAUAUCAUCAAAAGCAUGCUCGUAGAGGAUAUUCUAGCUUAGACACCAAAAACUUCAAGCACAUCCGCUAAUAUAGCUCUACCCCACACAGCAGCAGUAUAUAGUCAGCAGCAGUAAGCUUCUGUCAGCAGCAGCAGCAGCUGACUAAUCUCCCUUUGUUGGUUCUUAUUCUAGCUAGUGACAUGAGAGCAUCAAUUGUAGGCUCACUCUUAAUUUGCCCCCUCUUAGUAUCUCUCCUUGUACACCUCAUCACCCCCUCUUAACAAGAGUUAGUUACCAAAAACACCAAGAAAUAGACUAUCUCUUAAACACUACAUCUUAUAUAGUUUUUUAAUAUUUUUAAUUUUAUUUUUAAUAUUUUUAAUUUUA